RNAcentral lists this long non-coding RNA (1704 nucleotides) under Mus musculus (house mouse). RNAcentral's name for it is "long non-coding RNA chr14:21390156-21391860". Lineage: Eukaryota; Metazoa; Chordata; Mammalia; Rodentia; Muridae. The record is from RNAcentral.
UGUUAUUUCCUCUGCAUAUGGUUUAAACCUGUAGUGCUUAGAAGGUUGCAGGAGGAACGGUGGCUGGAGACCCAGAGAACAAAGGCCCUGGAAGGUCUGUGGAACCUUCCCAGGGUUCCUUUAUCUGCCUGAGCUGCUGUUGUAUCUCGGUACCCAGGAACUUCUGAGACAAACCAUGACCUUGACUUUCUGCGCUAUGAGAUUGGAUUUGCCAUUUUAUAUCUAUCAUAAAUUAGAGAUCAUUGCAAGGUUGCUGUGAAGGAUCAGCUUUGCUGUUUGUUAUGAUCACAUCAACACUGUGUUUGCAGAUAGCCCGUCUGGGGUCUGUUAAGCAUUUAAACCUUAAGCCUUCAUAACAAAUCCGUAAAUAUUAACGAUCUUCAGCCUUAACUCUAGGAACUUUUGGAACUUGGAUCAUGGAGAAGUCAGGGCAGGUUUGGAAAUAGACUGGUGUUUCUUGGUUUCUAUCAUAACAUUUGUAUAUUCAAAUUAAUCUUGUUAGAUUUUUUUUAAUACAAAGAUCUGUUGGAAGAAAAGGAGAAUAUCAUGUGUUUUCAUUUCAUUUCAUUUUGAGAUCAUAUUUACUUUUAUUUUGUGUGCGUAAGUGUCUGCUUGAAUGUGCUUAUAAUGUCUGUGCAAUAGGUGCUUGUAAUGCCUGCAGAGGCCAAAAGAUAAAAUCAGGUCCCUGGGACGGAGUGCAAAUACUGGAAGGCUCCAUGUAGGUACUGUGAACCAAACCUGGCUCCUCCGGAAGAGCCACCAGGGUUCUUAAUAGCUAGUCAUCUCUCCAGCCCUAAAUCAUAUUUUUUAAGUACAGUUGGCUAGAGUAAGCCUUUAGCUGUCUCUUUGUUGGUAUUUGAGCAUAUGAAGCAGAUCAUAAUCAAGGAGUCAUUAGAUUUCUUUGACAGGUGGCAAUAAGAGUCCAAUUCAGCUUGCUACUUGUUAAUUUAUCUAUAAAGCAUGGUCACAUUUGUCAUUAUUGACAAUCAUGACAAUUGGUCUGGGUUCUGUCUGCUGUUUAUGUGUAGUACUAUGUAUUAAGAAAUCUCAAGAGACCAAUAGCACGGGUUCCUUCCGGUCUGUCUGGGCCAGCGCCCUGAGCAGACCUUGGGUGGAAACUCUACAGCCAGCCCCACAACAACCAGAGGCAGCUCCACUCCCAGGUGCUCCAAGGUGCCCAGGAUCAAAGGAUCACAGGAUCACAGGAGCUUGGUCACACCAGGAUCUCAAGGUCCCAAAGGCAGCUUGACUCCCAGGAGCUCAGACACACCCAGGAUCUCAGGAUUGCAGGAUCCCAAAAUCACAGGAUCACAGAGACAUCUUGACUUGGAGGAAUUCAGACACAACCAGGAUCACAGGAAGAACAGGCUCCAUUCAGACAUAACUAGGGCAGGUAGCACUAGAGAUAACCAGAUGGCGGGAGGCAAGUGUAAGAACAUAAGCAACAGAAACCAAGGUUAUUUGGCAUCAUCAGAACCCAAUUCUUCCACCAUAACAAGUCCUGGAUACCCCAACACACUGGAAAGGCAAGAUUCAGAAAUAAAAUCACUUCUCAUGAUGAUGAUGAUAGAGGACAUUAAGGAGGGCAUAAAUAACUCCCUUAAAGAAAUACAGAAGAACACAGGUUAGCAGCUAGAAGCCCUUUAAGAGAUUUUUGUUGUUUCCUCUUUAAGAGUUACAGGAAAACAAUCAAAUAAUCGAAGG